UUGGAGAAGAACGUGCGUGAGAGUAACUGUUCACGCAGUGACGGUAUCCAACCAGAAAGUCACGGCUAACUACGUGCCAGCAGCCGCGGUAAUACGUAGGUGGCAAGCGUUAUCCGGAUUUAUUGGGCGUAAAGCGAGCGCAGGCGGUUGCUUAGGUCUGAUGUGAAAGCCUUCGGCUUAACCGAAGAAGUGCAUCGGAAACCGGGCGACUUGAGUGCAGAAGAGGACAGUGGAACUCCAUGUGUAGCGGUGGAAUGCGUAGAUAUAUGGAAGAACACCAGUGGCGAAGGCGGCUGUCUGGUCUGCAACUGACGCUGAGGCUCGAAAGCAUGGGUAGCGAACAGGAUUAGAUACCCUGGUAGUCCAUGCCGUAAACGAUGAGUGCUAGGUGUUGGAGGGUUUCCGCCCUUCAGUGCCGGAGCUAACGCAUUAAGCACUCCGCCUGGGGAGUACGACCGCAAGGUUGAAACUCAGAGGAAUUGACGGGGGCCCGCACAAGCGGUGGAGCAUGUGGUUUAAUUCGAAGCUACGCGAAGAACCUUACCAGGUCUUGACAUCUUGCGCUAACCUUAGAGAUAAGGCGUUCCCUUCGGGGACGCAAUGACAGGUGGUGCAUGGUCGUCGUCAGCUCGUGUCGUGAGAUGUUGGGUUAAGUCCCGCAACGAGCGCAACCCUUGUUACUAGUUGCCAGCAUUAAGUUGGGCACUCUAGUGAGACUGCCGGUGACAAACCGGAGGAAGGUGGGGACGACGUCAGAUCAUCAUGCCCCUUAUGACCUGGGCUACACACGUGCUACAAUGGACGGUACAACGAGUCGCAAGCUCGCGAGAGUAAGCUAAUCUCUUAAAGCCGUUCUCAGUUCGGACUGUAGGCUGCAACUCGCCUACACGAAGUCGGAAUCGCUAGUAAUCGCGGAUCAGCAUGCCGCGGUGAAUACGUUCCCGGGCCUUGUACACACCGCCCGUCACACCAUGGGAGUUUGUAACGCCCAAAGUCGGUGGCCUAACCUUUAUGGAGGGAGCCGCCUAAGGCGGGACA
RNAcentral lists this ribosomal RNA (1038 nucleotides) under Limosilactobacillus reuteri. RNAcentral describes it as "bacterial SSU rRNA". It matches the Rfam family "Bacterial small subunit ribosomal RNA", at positions 439 to 1469 of the family's 1533-position model. Lineage: Bacteria; Bacillati; Bacillota; Bacilli; Lactobacillales; Lactobacillaceae. The record is from RNAcentral.